AUACCAGCUCUCCGAGUGGUGUGGAUGUUUAUUGGGCCUAAAGCAUCCGUAGCUGGCUAGGUCAGUCCCUUGUCAAAUCCACCGAAUUAAUCGUUGGAUCGCGGGGGAUACUGCUUGGCUAGGGGACGAGAGAGGCAGACGGUAUUUCCGGGGUAGGGGUGAAAUCUAUAAUCCCGGGAAGACCACCAGGGGCGAAGGCUGUCUGCUAGAACGCGCCCGACGGUGAGGGAUGAAAGCUGGGGGAGCGAACCGGAUUAGAUACCCGGGUAGUCCCAGCUGUAAACGAUGCAGGCUAGGUGUUUGGACGGCCACGUGCCGUUCUAGUGCCGCAGGGAAGCUGUUAAGCCUGCCGCCUGGGGAGUACGAUCGCAAGAUUGAAACUUAAAGGAAUUGGCGGGG
RNAcentral lists this ribosomal RNA (399 nucleotides) under uncultured bacterium. RNAcentral describes it as "partial 16S ribosomal RNA". It matches the Rfam family "Archaeal small subunit ribosomal RNA", at positions 473 to 873 of the family's 1478-position model. The record is from RNAcentral.